This 592-nucleotide ribosomal RNA is filed under the name Providencia rettgeri. Its description in RNAcentral is "bacterial SSU rRNA". It matches the Rfam family "Bacterial small subunit ribosomal RNA", at positions 784 to 1372 of the family's 1533-position model. The record is from RNAcentral. Lineage: Bacteria; Pseudomonadati; Pseudomonadota; Gammaproteobacteria; Enterobacterales; Morganellaceae.
AGCCGGUCAUGUCCACGCUCGUAAACGAUGUCGAUUUGGAGGAUUGGGACCCUUGAGGCGUGGCUUCCGGAGCUAACGCGUUAAAUCGACCGCCUGGGGAGUACGGCCGCAAGGUUAAAACUCAAAUGAAUUGACGGGGGCCCGCACAAGCGGUGGAGCAUGUGGUUUAAUUCGAUGCAACGCGAAGAACCUUACCUACUCUUGACAUCCAGAGAACUUUCCAGAGAUGGAUUGGUGCCUUCGGGAACUCUGAGACAGGUGCUGCAUGGCUGUCGUCAGCUCGUGUUGUGAAAUGUUGGGUUAAGUCCCGCAACGAGCGCAACCCUUAUCCUUUGUUGCCAGCGAUUCGGUCGGGAACUCAAAGGAGACUGCCGGUGAUAAACCGGAGGAAGGUGGGGAUGACGUCAAGUCAUCAUGGCCCUUACGAGUAGGGCUACACACGUGCUACAAUGGCGUAUACAAAGAGAAGCGAACUCGCGAGAGCAAGCGGACCUCAUAAAGUACGUCGUAGUCCGGAUUGGAGUCUGCAACUCGACUCCAUGAAGUCGGAAUCGCUAUUAAUCGUAGAUCAAAAUGCUACGGUGAAUACGUU